GUGGGUAUAGUUCAGCGGUAGAGCGCCAGAUUGUGGCUCUGGAUGUCAUGGGUUCGAACCCCAUUACCCACCCCA
This 75-nucleotide transfer RNA is filed under the name Clostridiales bacterium. Its description in RNAcentral is "tRNA-His". It matches the Rfam family "tRNA". Rfam says of the family: Transfer RNA (tRNA) molecules are approximately 80 nucleotides in length. Lineage: Bacteria; Bacillati; Bacillota; Clostridia; Eubacteriales. The record is from RNAcentral.